This 549-nucleotide ribosomal RNA is filed under the name uncultured Glomeromycotina. RNAcentral describes it as "SSU rRNA". It matches the Rfam family "Eukaryotic small subunit ribosomal RNA", at positions 548 to 1098 of the family's 1831-position model. Lineage: Eukaryota; Fungi; Glomeromycota. The record is from RNAcentral.
UUGGAGGGCAAGUCUGGUGCCAGCAGCCGCGGUAAUUCCAGCUCCAAUAGCGUAUAUUAAAGUUGUUGCAGCUAAAAAGCUCGUAGUUGAAUUUCGGGGUUAGUAGGUUGGUCAUGCCUCUGGUAUGUACUGGUCUCACUGAUUCCUCCUUCCUGAUGAGCCGUAAUGCCAUUAAUUUGGUGUUGCGGGGAAUUUGGACUGUUACUUUGAAAAAAUUAGAGUGUUUAAAGCAAGCUAACGCUUGAAUACAUUAGCAUGGAAUAAUGAAAUAGGACGUUCGAUCCUAUUUUGUUGGUUUCUAGGAUUGACGUAAUGAUUAAUAGGGAUAGUUGGGGGCAUUAGUAUUCAAUUGUCAGAGGUGAAAUUCUUGGAUUUAUUGAAGACUAACUACUGCGAAAGCAUUUGCCAAGGAUGUUUUCAUUAAUCAAGAACGAAAGUUAGGGGAUCGAAGACGAUCAGAUACCGUCGUAGUCUUAACCAUAAACUAUGCCGACUAGGGAUCGGAUGAUGUUAAUUUUUUAAUGACUCAUUCGGCGCCUUACGGGAAAC